Molecule: long non-coding RNA, 484 nt
Organism: Drosophila innubila
Lineage: Eukaryota; Metazoa; Arthropoda; Insecta; Diptera; Drosophilidae
Exons: 2
Source: RefSeq, a predicted model, not a curated record
GUUCAAAGCUCAAGGUUGUUUAGUGAUAUUCUUCUUCUUGUUGACCUUUAGUUUGGCUUUCAAAAUAAGCACUGAAAUUAAAGAUGGUAUACCCGAUGGCUUAGAAACAGAUCCUUUUCAAAAGAUUGGUAAAGGAUUGUACUAUAUAGAAACAAAAUUGAAAGUUAACUGGUUUAAAGCCAACGAGAUAUGUCAUGCCAUGGAUGCCGAGCUAAUAACUUUUGAAACAAUGGACGAAUGGGAUAUAAUUAACAAAUACUUAAAAGAUAACGAAUUGGAAAAUAAGUACUGGACGUCAGGGAAUGAUCUAGCCGAGCAGUUUAUACAUGUUUGGCUUACGAAUGGGCAACCAAUACAUUUAAAAGACAUAUGGGCUCCAGGAGAGCCUAACAAUUAUAAUAAUUCGAAUGAACGCUGUGAUGGGAUGGGAUAUAAAGCAAAUCCAAGUGCCAAGCCCGGUCUUAAUGAUGGUCAUUGCACUACC